RNAcentral lists this ribosomal RNA (378 nucleotides) under Yersinia enterocolitica. RNAcentral's name for it is "partial 23S ribosomal RNA". It matches the Rfam family "Bacterial large subunit ribosomal RNA", at positions 1790 to 2165 of the family's 2925-position model. Lineage: Bacteria; Pseudomonadati; Pseudomonadota; Gammaproteobacteria; Enterobacterales; Yersiniaceae. The record is from RNAcentral.
CUGGCUGCAACUGUUUAAUAAAAACACAGCACUGUGCAAACACGAAAGUGGACGUAUACGGUGUGACGCCUGCCCGGUGCUGGAAGGUUAAUUGAUGGGGUCAGCCGCAAGGCGAAGCUCUUGAUCGAAGCCCCAGUAAACGGCGGCCGUAACUAUAACGGUCCUAAGGUAGCGAAAUUCCUUGUCGGGUAAGUUCCGACCUGCACGAAUGGCGUAAUGAUGGCCAGGCUGUCUCCACCCGAGACUCAGUGAAAUUGAACUCGCUGUGAAGAUGCAGUGUACCCGCGGCAAGACGGAAAGACCCCGUGAACCUUUACUAUAGCUUGACACUGAACAUUGAGCCUUGAUGUGUAGGAUAGGUGGGAGGCAUAGAAGUGU